Molecule: transfer RNA, 73 nt
Filed under: Candidatus Poseidoniales archaeon
Lineage: Archaea; Methanobacteriati; Thermoplasmatota; Candidatus Poseidoniia; Candidatus Poseidoniales
Description: tRNA-Arg
Rfam family: tRNA
About the family: Transfer RNA (tRNA) molecules are approximately 80 nucleotides in length. Their secondary structure includes four short double-helical elements and three loops (D, anti-codon, and T loops).
Source: RNAcentral
GCCCCUGUAGUGUAGUGGAUAUCACCCCGGCCUCCGGAGCCAGGAACCCGCGUUCGAAUCGCGGCAGGGGCGC